GGGUCAGUGGGUUGGUCGUGCCACCGGUACGUACUGGUCUCACUGAUUCCUCCUUCCUGAAGAACCGUAAUGCCAUUAAUUUGGUGUUGCAGGGAAACAGGACUGUUACUUUGAAAAAAUUAGAGUGUUUAAAGCAAGCUAACGCUUGAAUACAUUAGCAUGGAAUAAUGGAAUAGGACGAUCGAUCCUAUUUUGUUGGUUUCUAGGAUUGACGUA
RNAcentral lists this ribosomal RNA (216 nucleotides) under Glomeromycotina sp. RNAcentral's name for it is "partial small subunit ribosomal RNA". The stretch from base 40 to 216 matches the Rfam family "Eukaryotic small subunit ribosomal RNA", at positions 686 to 864 of the family's 1831-position model. Lineage: Eukaryota; Fungi; Glomeromycota. The record is from RNAcentral.